AUGGUUGACGAGGCCAUAACAACAUUUGUGUAGAUUUCCAAAUCAUGUAGGCCCACUCUAGAGGAUACGUAUUUUUUUAUGGAAAAAUUGGAGUAUCAAUUUGAGUCGGAAAUAUAUGCACAAAUAUGUUUUCACCGUCAUAGAUCAGGCGACACCGUAACUAUACACUAUGCUGACUGUGGUAUUUUACAAGAAAUAUAUACUUUAAAGGUCGACCUAAAAGAUGUUUUUUCUCUGCCACCUCAGCAACAGAUCUGGUACCUAAGAGGCCGAGAACUAGAGGACAAUAAAUCUUUAUUCACGUACGGGAUAACUGGUAUGGAGUCCAAUUAUAGGAGUAACAUAACUAUUGAUGUGAAAAUGAGGUUUUAAAUACCGUGAAUAUUUAAUGUUAAAACAUGUAUUUUUUAAAUUGUCAAUAAUUUCUAAUUAAAUUAUGUACAUGUAUGCUUAUGAAGAAUAAAGUUGUCAAUUUUUGGAACAACAUUGAGAACAUGGAUGUCAUCUACGCAUCAGACUGUCGUUGUAAUGGUCUCAGGUUUGAACCUGCACGCUUUCUGCCCCCCUUACAGUAGUUUAGGGCAAUAAUGGUGAAAUCUUCACUUCAUGAAGUAACCUUGAAAGAUGUCAAAUAAAAGUCAGGAUACUGAACAGCGUGAUACAACGAACAUGUCACUUUACUUGGCUGUGCAGUGUAGUCUGGUAAUGUUUCUAAUGGCCUGGACUAGUGUAGUGACCUAGUUUAGUUUAGAGAGUAUGCUAGUUUUUGUGAAUAAAUCUAUUGUGCAUUGUUUUUAGCGACGGUAAAAAGUAGUGACGUAAUCAGACAGACGAAUGACGUAGACAGAAUAUGGGUACAUGAAGAACAAGAUGGCUAGGGCUUCGAGGAAGAAGAAUAGUGAUAGAGAUUGCUAAGUAAACUGCAGAUAUAUAUAUAUAAAUACAUGUAUAUAGUUCGCCCAUCGUGGUUCGAUGACGGCCACUUUUGUCAUUCAGGGGGCUGAGUGCUUUGCACUGGGGUUUCGUGCAUCCUCAUGUAGCUGGUGAGACCUAUGUGAGCCCGGAAAGUUCGGCUGCACACUGGGCAGGUUGUUCCAGCUGGAGCUAGUCUCCAUGGCCUUGCUUUUUUUUUCUCUGGCGCUUUUCUUCUGCCAAGGACAGAUCGUGUGACAAGAUGAGGAUCCCAUUUGUAAAUAGAUACAUCAGAUUAAGUAUUCAGAAGUCUUGAUAACGUCUAUCGUUGUUCAUUGUAAUGUCUCAUGGCUAGUUUAGACUAGUUAAGUGAAAUAUUAUUGGAUUUACUUAAAACACAAUGACACUAGAUUCAAUAUACAUAAACUUUAUUUAGACUUAAACCUUGAUAUAGAAAACUAUAGCUAACUGACUAUGUAUAUAUAUACAACCUGUAGACGUCUUCUGUAGAUCUAGUGAGAUUAGAUGAUAGAUUUAAAUAUUCCGAUUUAUGAUAAUAAGUUGAACUCAGAUUUAAAUAGCGAGUUUUGUGUUUGAGAUGUGAAUAUCUCAGAAUGAAUCAAAAAUAACUUUUUUUUUGAAUAACGAUUAACCUAAAGAAUCUAGAAUAUCUCUUGGAUUCUGAACUCUUUCAUGUCUGGACCUUAAUUUAUAGUUUUCAGGCGUUACUUCAAUAGGAUUCCAUUAUUUAAGAACUCUAAACUACAUUUCAAUUUCUGAAAUUGAAUGUUCAUCCUUGCAACAAAAUAUGCAUUUAGAAUUUUAAUUUCUAUCCUUUUCAGAACCGUAAAUGUCAUGUCUGCAAUCCUGACAACGUCCGCCCGUGUAACUGACAUAGGUCUUUAGUGCUAAUAUAAUGAUUAGUGCUAUAAUGAAUAAAAGCAAUGUUUUUGAUUCCGAAGAUUAAGGACGCGUGCUGUGAUUCACGUGACAAUGUAGGACCCAGUUGCGACCUUUAUAAUUUACCGCCCAUCACGCAAAAAAAGCCGUUGUCCGUUCUAUUUAAGUUAUCUUUCCGUCUUCUGAGCCUGUAAUGGCUUUUCACUGAGUCUAUAUAAUAAUAAUAAUAUAUAAUACAUGAUAUACACCUAUAUGGCGUAAUAAAAAGUAAAUUAAAAUAAAAUGACUUUGCGAUCUAUAGAGCAGAUCAUUCAUCUUUUUUGUAGCCCAGGUUUUAUGAGUUUGUCAUGUGGCCACCACGACAUAAAGAUCCCGAAACUAAAAAUCUCAGGAUUCGAACUUGGAGUCCCUGGUUUGGAAGCCAAGCGCUUUACCACUUAGCCACCGCGAGUCCGAUUGUUUUAUAUAAUGAUAAUAAAAUAUAUUAUACAAAAAGACUAAUAUCAAAAAAGUGUGUGUGUGAAUCGGGAGUUUUUGUACGUGUAUAGCUGUCAAAAAGAAAAACUGCCGAAUAAGUCAAGCUAGAUGUAAGAGAGACUAUGAGCCAACCCUGGCUCCUUUUAGAUAUAAUAACUAUCUAGAGCUCUGAAUAAUAAUUUAAGUGUCAAUGUUAUAUAACAGCGGUUCUCAACCUUUUAUACCCGGCGACCCCUUUUUACAAUCUGUCUAUCUGCCGCGACCCCUCCCCCCCCCCACACACACACGGCAGUAGAAGAAGAGACAAUAAUAAUCUAUAUUUUCGAUGGUCUUAGGCGACCCCUGGCAAAUCGUCAAUCGACCCCCAAGGGGGUCGCGACCCACAGGUUGAGAACCCCUGUUAUAUAAUCUCCAACUCUUUAUCAGAGGCGGACUGGGUGUUAAGAUCGGCCCAUGGCAUUUCUAUUCAAUCCGUCUUACAAAUUGUAUAACAUAUGAUAGACAUCCAAUUCUAGGUCUACCUGUCCUCAAAAUCAUUCUGUUAAGUUUGAUAAUGUAUCGAUAUCUGUAUAAAUGCAUACAAUGAACUCUGUAUCUUUAUAAGUUAUAUAGGCCUUUUGUUGCCUUUUAAUCGCUAAGUAUGUAGGCCCUAAAAGGGUGGAGCCUAUUAGUAGCACCGAUUACGGAUAAAGACUAUUACAUUAUUUCGUAAAAUUGUUACAUUAAAUUAGUAUUACACUGUAGAGUCUGUGAAAUAUUUUUUACUUUAAACACGACGCUCAGAUAAUAUUGUCAAACCUUGAACAAUGUAAUACAUUCUAAUGUGGCAGUCUUGAGGCACUUUUGGUGGUCCCACCGGCCCAUUUGGGUACAUCCCCACCGGGCAGUUGCCCAAAUGCCCAUAUAGCCAGUCCGCCCCUGGUCUUUAUAUAUUUGACUCAAGUAUUUUCUCUGAUUCUGUGUUAGAGAGUAUGUGCUAUUUUAUUUAUAUAUGUAUAUCAUACAGAAAUAAACACAAUACUUUUCUAAGUUUAACGUCAUAUAUUUUCUAAGCACAUGUUUUAAACAUCUUCGCAUUUCACAAUAUUUUUAAUAAUGGAAUUAGCUGUUCUACAUGAAUGGUUAUGGUGGUUAAACUACUACACACUCGCAGUUUGGGCUUAUUUUGUUUGGUAGGACUGUUACAAGUUUUUAGGGUCAGUUUUCGUUAAUAUUUCUACGGUCAUUUUUUUUAUGUGUGGAAUCGCUUCGUAGUGUCGUAGUUUUCUAGUUUAGUUUUAGACACGAGUUUUAAUUUGUUUUAUCAUAGAGAAGAGGCGUAGUGAGGACUAACCCUAAACCUAACCCUGGCGCCCAAGGCCAGAAACUUUAUUGGCACCCUUCCCCCCUUCCCCCCAUUUUCCAUGAAUAUCACAUAGAAAUAUAGGUCUAAAAGUAAAAAAGUAUUUAAUAAUUAUAUUGUUACGAAUCUUACUAUCCAGGCUCUCUGCAAAAUGCAACUUACACCACCAACUUUAAGAACUUGACAACUCAGGGCUCCAAAGUAACGUAACAGUUUAAUGUCCAAUAAAUUACAGCCAAUACUGUACAAUUGGCAACUCGUAACACAGGCUGCACAAAUAUCUCUCCGUAUCAACCGUACCGCCGUAUCAACUCUUGCACUGGCCUCUCCGUAUCGUUCCGGGCUUGCACUGGGUUCAACAGUUCUGGACUGACUUUACACACUGGACUCGUUGUGUCGGACUCGAUCACAGACCAAGAUCAAGACGCCGUUCGUCUCAACUGUACUUGAUAGUACUCCGAACUGAACCGUCGUAAUGCUCCGUACAGAACCACACCGCUGAACUUUGCUGUAGUCGACCGGACUGUAGUGAACCGGGCUGUAGUGAACCGGGCUCUGAACCGUCUUGACUGCGACACCUCCGCUCUUUAUAUAGGGUCCCUAAUGGCCUUCUAGAACCGGACAGAACACCGCUCGACGUUUCUAGCUUCGUCACAUGACUGCAUCCCUCGUGACGCUCCUGAGCUCUGUUCACGACGCCGAUCCUUCAUGUUGACACUCGUCUCGGCUGACCGUCGUAACUCGUCACGGUUGACCGCUCGUCUAGCGCUGGCGAUUUGCGUCGGCUGACUACACACAUACCACUACCCCCAUCUGUGCCACGACCAGGUUUAUAACACUAUAGUACAAAUAACGUAAGAAUGUACUAUUUUUUUGGCGUCUCUCUGCGUGUGCCCCCCCCCUUUCAGGGUGGUUGCCCGGGGCAUCGUGAGCCCCUUGCCCCACUCUCACAUAGACUUUGACUGACCUUGUUAGUGUUGGACCUCUGUUGAUAUGGCUCUUGACAGUGUUAUUGAGGUAGACCCCUAUCAUUCUUAUGAUGCAGUGUUUUGCAGUUAGCUCACUCAGGGGCCGGCCUUUAGCCGAUUAGGCCGAUUGUCAUAAUUGGGCCCCCGCGCCUGGCAGGGCCCAGCAAUUUCAAAUUUAGCAUAUCUCUAUCCUUCGUGUCUCUUGUCACAGGCCAAGCUGUAAAACUUAAAGCGUUAACAUAUUUAGCGUAUCGUACGAUUGACACAGUCUUAAUUAACCCACUGGCCCCUAUUAAGUUUGAAAUUCUCCCUUUGCAUGUUGUAUAUUAAAUUGUUAUAUUAUGAUCUAAUUAAUAAUGAUAGUUAUUUAUGUAAAAUAAUACAAGGGGGCCUCGAAAACAUCCAUUAAAUUAGGCCCCGCAAUUUUUAAGACUGGCCCUGAUCUCACUUUUAUGUCAGUGGGGGAGGUGUUGCUAGAUUAAGAUUGAUAUUUGAUAAGAAAUUCAUUAGUUUAUUUAUGCAUACUUUGUAAUGAAGAUAUAUAUAUAAACAAGUUGCAUUUCAUAUAUUGUAUUAGCUAUAAUAGCAAUAUACACGUAUAAUAAAUAUAUGGGUACUAAAGCUUUAAAUGAGUGAUGCGUGUGUAAUUGUUUGAUGUAUAAUAGGAUAAUACUGUAUAGAGUUUAAAAAAAACAACUUUAUAAUUCAAACGAAGUUAGUGCUCAUAGUCGAAUGUUAUAAAUUUACAUGGCAUUCAGCUAAUUAGCGACAAACAUCGUGGAAAGAAGAUGGGUAGAGCGACAUUGUCCACAAUUUGUCCUUUUGCAAACAACAAACCCCUCUUAGGCAGCUGUUUAAGACAAAACAACUAUUAAAAAAGCUAAAAAAGAUUCUAGAAAUAAAAAUCACCACCUUGGGUCAGGAUUUUUUUUAUUUUACCAUCAUAAAAGAGAUACAAGACACCGAUAGCAAGACAGGAAGGCUGCCUGGUCGUGAGGUUUGCGCGCUGGACUGUCGUUCGGAUUUAUCGAUGGUCGAGUGUUCAAAUCCUGCCCGCUCCCAUCCCCCGUCGUCCUGCGGGAGGUUUGGACUAGGAAGUAAACUAUCUUCAACUCUGAAGGAACAUCCGAAACAUGUAAAACAAACAAACAUUUAAAAAUUACUUCAUAUAUAUAUAUAUAUAUAGACCGACCAUCUCAUGGAUGAUGAAUGCCUGGGCAUUAAUUGUGGACGGGACGAUGUCUCCCACACUGCAUUUCUCCUCUCCACACAGCUGAUCUAUCCAAAGGAACAGCAAGUACCGAUACAGUUUGGGCAGUUUGGGGUCAGCGUCGUCGCAGGCUCUGCCAGGGUAAAGCACUGAGUGCUUCAAACUGCCGGCUUCUGUUUUUUUUUUCUCAGAGUUGACUCCCUUAGUUUAACUCAAUGAACAGCUUCCAGUAAAUGUACACCAUUGCACGAGUCACUCUGUGGCAUUUUACGUCUCGAGAGACGAUCUUUUCCCUUCGCAACUUCUUGUGUGACUAAAGAGGCCAAUUCCUUGAUACACAGCUGCGAUCGCAGGUUGGGCGUAUGUAAUCACCAUGCGCCGUUGCAUUUUCACCCUUCUUUCUGCUUCUGUUGUGCAGUCCGAGACCCUUCCUUUAUGCCCUCUCUCUGCAUGUGAAUAUAUCCAGUCACUAUGUAACACAAUUUAGACCUUAGUAAACAAAUAUCUCUGCCUCUACUGGUUACAGUUGUACACUGAUCCAUUUUGCGAUUGGAAAUAAUAUAUUUACUUUUAAAAUUGCCUUUGCUUAGCGCUACUUUCAUGCUUAUAGCAUGCUUACCGCACUAUGGUCCAAACUCAUUUGUGGAUCGGGGGGGGGGGGGGGGGCUUUACAAGUUGCAUCCGCAAAAAUAUAUUUAAGAAAAAAUAAACCUUUUGGGGAUCGUCUUCUAGGUCUAGAUUUAAAGGCCAAACAUUGGAAUUUGUUUAAAGGUAUAGUAGAUUAACUCUUUCUCUCCGUAAUUAUUUGCCACAUUCUGGUGGAAUCAACGCUGGUAUCGUCAGUUAGGAGAGAAAGAGUUAAUACAUUCUUUUCACCAGGAUUUGUUUGUAUGUUGGGGAGGAAGAGGCGUGGGGAGAUGUUUCUUUUUUUUAAAAAAAAUCUAACAUUCAUUAGUUAUUGAGAGCAAAAGAAUCACUCUGUUAGGCGCAGACAUUUCACUUGUAACAUUUGAGUUCAACUAAUGUGAAGCUUUAUUCUGUUUCUAUAGUUUCUUAGUUAUAAUGUAAUUUUUAAUGCAUACACUCUUUGAUAAAUUUUAUUAUGGAUAAUAAAAGUUAUUAUUAUUAA
Biomphalaria glabrata is the source of this 6938-nucleotide long non-coding RNA. RefSeq lists it as uncharacterized. NCBI's taxonomy places the organism in Eukaryota, Metazoa, Mollusca, Gastropoda, Planorbidae. The record is from RefSeq and is a predicted model, not a curated record. The transcript is spliced from 3 exons.